RNAcentral lists this ribosomal RNA (253 nucleotides) under uncultured bacterium. RNAcentral's name for it is "partial 16S ribosomal RNA". It matches the Rfam family "Bacterial small subunit ribosomal RNA", at positions 524 to 776 of the family's 1533-position model. The record is from RNAcentral.
GACGAACCGUGCGAACGUUGUUCGGAAUCACUGGGCUUAAAGGGCGCGUAGGCGGGCCGGACGGUCCGGGGUGAAAUCCCCCCGCUCAACGGGGGAACGGCUCCGGAUACCGCCGGCCUCGAGGGGGGUAGGGGCGAGCGGAACGCUGGGUGGAGCGGUGAAAUGCGUUGAUAUCCAGCGGAACUCCGGUGGCGAAGGCGGCUCGCUGGGCCCUCUCUGACGCUGAGGCGCGAAAGCCAGGGGAGCAAACGGG